RNAcentral lists this ribosomal RNA (433 nucleotides) under uncultured bacterium. Its description in RNAcentral is "partial 16S ribosomal RNA". It matches the Rfam family "Bacterial small subunit ribosomal RNA", at positions 28 to 507 of the family's 1533-position model. The record is from RNAcentral.
GAUGAACGCUGGCGGCAUGCCUAACACAUGCAAGUCGAACGAGACCUUCGGGAGUAGGCGCGCCUGGGUGCGUAACCCGUGGGAACCUUCCCUUAUGGUUAGCAUAACUCUCCGACAGGGAUGAUUAUGCCAGAUCAUGUCUUCUACCCAAAGAUUUAUCGACGUUGGUUGUGCCAGCGUUGGAUUAGGUAGUUGGUAGGGUAAAAGCCUACCAAGGCGACGAUCCAUAGCUGGGCUGAGAGGAUGAUCAGCCACACUGGGACUGAGACACGGCCCAGACUCCUACGGGAGGCAGCAGUGGGGAAUAGUGGACAAUGGGCGAAAGCCUGAUCCAGCAAUGCCGCGUGAGUGAUGAAGGCCUUAGGGUUGUAAAGCUCUUUUACCCGGGAUGAUAAUGACAGUACCGGGAGAAUAAGCUCCGGCUAACUCCGUG